GGGCAGCAUGGGAGGAAUGGCUGGGAGUUAGAGAAAGAUAUAUUUUCCAUCCCAUGCAAGAGCCACUUCACUGAUAGCUGGCUGGCUGGCAAGCUUGUCCCAAGGCAGCAUAGGCAGAGCCAAGGUGGCAAUGAAGCAAGGGCUUUCUUAUGUAUGUGUGAAUCAUCAGUGAUUUCAGAAAAUCACUAAAAUUUUCCAGGCUGACAUUAAGAGGCUUAAGAAGUCAUACACUGUCCCAACAAUUAAAACGUUCAACAAACUGAAAAGACUUCUCAUCUUCUUAGAUCCAUCAGAGAACUGAGAAUUACUUCAGAUUACUGAGAAUUACAGACAGAUGCCAAAAUACAGAUGCAGGAAGCGCAGAGAACACCAAGCAGAAUAAAUUUUGAAGAAAUUACACUGUAGGCAUAUCAUAUUAAAACUUGAAAAAAAUCAAAGAAAAAAUCUUCAAAGAAGCUAAAGGGGGAAGACCCACAUUGCCUAUAGAGAAAUAAAGAUUAAAAUUGCGUUCAACUCCUUAUAAACCAUGCAAGUGAGAAGAGAAUUGAAUGAAAUAUAUAGUAAGGAAAAUUAUAUUAGUCAGAAACUCAGGUCUGCAUAAAGAAAGGAGGAACAUUGGGCCAGGGAUUUAGCACAGUGGUUCUGCUGCCUGCCUUCCAAGUGCAAGGUCCCAAGUUUGAUCCCCGGUAUGAAAAAAAAAA
RNAcentral lists this long non-coding RNA (701 nucleotides) under Heterocephalus glaber (naked mole-rat). Its description in RNAcentral is "lncRNA (ENSHGLG00100040410.1)". The record is from RNAcentral. Lineage: Eukaryota; Metazoa; Chordata; Mammalia; Rodentia; Bathyergidae.